RNAcentral lists this ribosomal RNA (1505 nucleotides) under uncultured bacterium. RNAcentral's name for it is "16S ribosomal RNA". It matches the Rfam family "Bacterial small subunit ribosomal RNA". The record is from RNAcentral.
UGGCUCAGGACGAACGCUGGCGGCGUGCCUAAUACAUGCAAGUCGAACGCUUCUUUUUCCACCGGAGCUUGCUCCACCGGAAAAAGAGGAGUGGCGAACGGGUGAGUAACACGUGGGUAACCUGCCCAUCAGAAGGGGAUAACACUUGGAAACAGGUGCUAAUACCGUAUAACAAUCGAAACCGCAUGGUUUUGAUUUGAAAGGCGCUUUCGGGUGUCGCUGAUGGAUGGACCCGCGGUGCAUUAGCUAGUUGGUGAGGUAACGGCUCACCAAGGCCACGAUGCAUAGCCGACCUGAGAGGGUGAUCGGCCACAUUGGGACUGAGACACGGCCCAAACUCCUACGGGAGGCAGCAGUAGGGAAUCUUCGGCAAUGGACGAAAGUCUGACCGAGCAACGCCGCGUGAGUGAAGAAGGUUUUCGGAUCGUAAAACUCUGUUGUUAGAGAAGAACAAGGAUGAGAGUAACUGUUCAUCCCUUGACGGUAUCUAACCAGAAAGCCACGGCUAACUACGUGCCAGCAGCCGCGGUAAUACGUAGGUGGCAAGCGUUGUCCGGAUUUAUUGGGCGUAAAGCGAGCGCAGGCGGUUUCUUAAGUCUGAUGUGAAAGCCCCCGGCUCAACCGGGGAGGGUCAUUGGAAACUGGGAGACUUGAGUGCAGAAGAGGAGAGUGGAAUUCCAUGUGUAGCGGUGAAAUGCGUAGAUAUAUGGAGGAACACCAGUGGCGAAGGCGGCUCUCUGGUCUGUAACUGACGCUGAGGCUCGAAAGCGUGGGGAGCAAACAGGAUUAGAUACCCUGGUAGUCCACGCCGUAAACGAUGAGUGCUAAGUGUUGAAGGGUUUCCGCCCUUCAGUGCUGCAGCUAACGCAUUAAGCACUCCGCCUGGGGAGUACGACCGCAAGGUUGAAACUCAAAGGAAUUGACGGGGGCCCGCACAAGCGGUGGAGCAUGUGGUUUAAUUCGAAGCAACGCGAAGAACCUUACCAGGUCUUGACAUCCUUUGACCACUCUAGAGAUAGAGCUUCCCCUUCGGGGGCAAAGUGACAGGUGGUGCAUGGUUGUCGUCAGCUCGUGUCGUGAGAUGUUGGGUUAAGUCCCGCAACGAGCGCAACCCUUAUUGUUAGUUGCCAUCAUUCAGUUGGGCACUCUAGCAAGACUGCCGGUGACAAACCGGAGGAAGGUGGGGAUGACGUCAAAUCAUCAUGCCCCUUAUGACCUGGGCUACACACGUGCUACAAUGGGAAGUACAACGAGUCGCGAAGUCGCGAGGCUAAGCUAAUCUCUUAAAGCUUCUCUCAGUUCGGAUUGCAGGCUGCAACUCGCCUGCAUGAAGCCGGAAUCGCUAGUAAUCGCGGAUCAGCACGCCGCGGUGAAUACGUUCCCGGGCCUUGUACACACCGCCCGUCACACCACGAGAGUUUGUAACUCCCGAAGUCGGUGAGGUAACCUUUUGGAGCCUGCCGCCUAAGGUGGGAUAGAUGAUUGGGGUGAAGUCGUAACAAGGU